This 411-nucleotide ribosomal RNA is filed under the name uncultured bacterium. RNAcentral's name for it is "bacterial SSU rRNA". It matches the Rfam family "Bacterial small subunit ribosomal RNA", at positions 28 to 437 of the family's 1533-position model. The record is from RNAcentral.
GAUAAACGCUGGCGGCGUGCAUGAGACAUGCAAGUCGAACGGACGAUCGAGGCUUGCUUCGAUCGUUAGUGGCGGACGGCUGAGUAACGCGUAGGUGACCUGCCCCGAAGUGGGGAAUAACUGCCCGAAAGGGUGGCUAAUACCGCAUGUGGUGGUGUGUUCAAUCACACCAGUAAAGCCGCAAGGCGCUUCGGGAGGGGCCUGCGUCCGAUUAGCUCGUUGGUGGGGUAACGGCUCACCAAGGCGACGAUCGGUAGGUGGUCUGAGAGGACGAUCACCCAGACUGGGACUGAGACACGGCCCAGACUCCUACGGGAGGCAGCAGUCGGGAAUUUUGGGCAAUGGGCGAAAGACCUGACCCAAGCAACGCCGCGUGAAGGAUGAAGUAUUUUCGGUAUGUAAACUUCGAAA